UAAGCAUGAAGCCCCCCUCAAGAUGAGAUUUCCCAUUCCGCAAGGAAGUAAGAUCCCUGAAAGAUGAUCAGGUUGAUAGGUCUGAGGUGGAAGCGUGGUGACACGUGGAGCUGACAGAUACUAAUAGAUCGAGGACUUAACCUAUAUU
Molecule: ribosomal RNA, 148 nt
Filed under: Bacillus sp. LK10
Lineage: Bacteria; Bacillati; Bacillota; Bacilli; Caryophanales; Bacillaceae
Description: partial 23S ribosomal RNA
Rfam family: Bacterial large subunit ribosomal RNA
Source: RNAcentral